CAGAAGUGGAGAAAGCCACAGCAGCAGUAAAGUCAUGAUGCCAGAAAUAGCCCAGAGCAAGAGCUAACAGUUCAGAAACCGAAGGAGCUAAUUGGGACACCAACUGGCACGCCUUUCUCUUUUCAUCCAGAAAGACAAGAAACCUACGUACGUGUCUGCAAAAUUAACAGAGUCCGUUCCAUCAAAGAAAACAGAACAUUUGACCUAAACAAAUCAUGGGCUAAGGGUGAUUUUCCUUUAGUGUUUUUAAUCAACUAUUCCGUCGUCCUUUGGCCCUGGAAAAUAUUUCACGCAAAUAAAACUGAAACCCCAAUUGCACAGA
Long non-coding RNA from Podarcis raffonei (Aeolian wall lizard), 322 nucleotides. RefSeq lists it as uncharacterized. Lineage: Eukaryota; Metazoa; Chordata; Lepidosauria; Squamata; Lacertidae. The record is from RefSeq and is a predicted model, not a curated record. The transcript has 2 exons.